UGGGGAAUAUUGCACAAUGGGGGAAACCCUGAUGCAGCAACGCCGCGUGAAGGAAGACGGUUUUCGGAUUGUAAACUUCUGUUCUUAGUGAAGAAUAAUGACGGUAGCUAAGGAGCAAGCCACGGCUAACUACGUGCCAGCAGCCGCGGUAAUACGUAGGUGGCAAGCGUUGUCCGGAAUUACUGGGUGUAAAGGGAGCGCAGGCGGGAGACCAAGUCAACUGUGAAAACUACGGGCUUAACCUGUAGACUGCAGUUGAAACUGGUUUUCUUGAGUGAAGUAGAGGUUGGCGGAAUUCCGAGUGUAGCGGUGAAAUGCGUAGAUAUUCGGAGGAACACCGGUGGCGAAGGCGGCCAACUGGGCUUUAACUGACGCUGAGGCUCGAAAGUGUGGGAGCAAACAGGGUUAGAUACC
RNAcentral lists this ribosomal RNA (414 nucleotides) under uncultured bacterium. RNAcentral's name for it is "bacterial SSU rRNA". It matches the Rfam family "Bacterial small subunit ribosomal RNA", at positions 355 to 786 of the family's 1533-position model. The record is from RNAcentral.